GACGAACGCUGGCGGCGUGCUUAACACAUGCAAGUCGAACGGUGAAGGGAUCAGCUUGCUGGUUCUGGAUGAGUGGCGAACGGGUGAGUAACACGUGAGUAACCUGCCCCCUUCUUCUGGAUAACCGCAUGAAAGUGUGGCUAAUACGGGAUAUUCUGGGUCUGUCGCAUGAUGGGUCUGGGAAAGAUAUUGUUUCGGUGGGGGAUGGGCUCGCGGCCUAUCAGCUUGUUGGUGGGGUGAUGGUCUACCAAGGCGGUGACGGGUAGCCGGCCUGAGAGGGUGGACGGUCACACUGGGACUGAGACACGGCCCAGACUCCUACGGGAGGCAGCAGUGGGGAAUAUUGCACAAUGGGCGCAAGCCUGAUGCAGCGACGCCGCGUGAGGGAUGGAGGCCUUCGGGUUGUAAACCUCUUUCGCCAGUGAAGCAGGCCUGCUCCUUGUGGGUGGGUUGACGGUAGCUGGAUAAGAAGCGCCGGCUAACUACGUG
This 489-nucleotide ribosomal RNA is filed under the name uncultured bacterium. Its description in RNAcentral is "partial 16S ribosomal RNA". It matches the Rfam family "Bacterial small subunit ribosomal RNA", at positions 28 to 507 of the family's 1533-position model. The record is from RNAcentral.